RNAcentral lists this ribosomal RNA (404 nucleotides) under uncultured bacterium. RNAcentral describes it as "bacterial SSU rRNA". It matches the Rfam family "Bacterial small subunit ribosomal RNA", at positions 355 to 776 of the family's 1533-position model. The record is from RNAcentral.
UGGGGAAUAUUGCACAAUGGGGGAAACCCUGAUGCAGCAACGCCGCGUGGAGGACGAAGGUUUUCGGAUUGUAAACUCCUGUCAUUUGGGAAGAUAAUGACGGUACCAAAUGAGGAAGCCACGGCUAACUACGUGCCAGCAGCCGCGGUAAUACGUAGGUGGCGAGCGUUGUCCGGAAUUACUGGGCGUAAAGGGCGUGUAGGCGGCCAAUCAAGUCAGCUGUGAAACCCCGGGGCUUAACCUCGGGCUUGCAAUUGAAACUGAAUGGCUCGAGUGUCGGAGAGGAAAGCGGAAUUCCUAGUGUAGCGGUGAAAUGCGUAGAUAUUAGGAGGAACACCAGUGGCGAAGGCGGCUUUCUGGACGAUAACUGACGCUGAGGCGCGAAAGCGUGGGGAGCAAACAGG